AACGAACGCUGGCGGCAUGCCUAACACAUGCAAGUCGAACGAUACCUUCGGGUAUAGUGGCGCACGGGUGCGUAACGCCUGAGAACCUGCCCUUAGGUUCGGAAUAGCCUGCCGGAAGGGGUUCUCAUACCGGAUAAUGUCUUCGGACCAAAGAUUUAUCCCCUUUGGAUGAGCCCGCGUUGGAUUAGCUAGUUGGUAGGGUAAACGCCUACCAAGGCGACGAUCCAUAGCUGGUCUGAGAGGAUGAGCAGCCACACUGGGACUGAGACACGGCCCAGACUCCUACGGGAGGCAGCAGUGGGGAAUAUUGGACAAUGGGCGAAAGCCUGAUCCAGCAAUGCCGCGUGAGUGAUGAAGGCCUUAGGGUUGUAAAGCUCUUUUACCCGGGAUGAUAAUGACAGUACCGGGAGAAUAAGCUCCGGCUAACUCCGUG
This 433-nucleotide ribosomal RNA is filed under the name uncultured bacterium. RNAcentral's name for it is "partial 16S ribosomal RNA". It matches the Rfam family "Bacterial small subunit ribosomal RNA", at positions 29 to 507 of the family's 1533-position model. The record is from RNAcentral.